This is a long non-coding RNA of Carassius auratus (goldfish), 598 nucleotides long. RefSeq lists it as uncharacterized. The record is from RefSeq and is a predicted model, not a curated record. The transcript is spliced from 3 exons. Lineage: Eukaryota; Metazoa; Chordata; Actinopteri; Cypriniformes; Cyprinidae.
UUAGAUGUUUUACAUUUUGUAAAGAACAUACAAAAGUAACAUUCCCAUAAUGUUUGCAAAAUGAUUAAGUUUGGCGGUUAGUGCGUCAACCGAAAAACUAACAUAACGUAAGUUAAGACAUAUUAUCGCUAACCCUGUGGGCUCAGAGUACAUUAUACUUUACUUAACUAUUUAUCAAAUAAACAGAGCAGUGAAAGACAACAUAUCUGCUCCGUUAGGACAGUGUGAGGUCUGCGUUACAUGGCGCUCGCCGCUAGAUGGCAGUAAAUGAUUGUUAAACCGGUUUUCGCUCCUUCAGGUGAGAUCUUCAGGUCAGUUUUUAGCAAUAAAAAACACAAUCUGUCUAAUCACUUGGAUUACCUUGUGGGUUGUCUUCCGAAUGUGCUGUUCUACUUCUAAAAGAGGACGCUGGGUAAUCGCCGUCGCUGUCUGUCUGACAUGGCCGGGGGUGGAGGGACGCGGAGCAGGAGGACAUUGUUAGAAGUUGAAGCGUUGGUAUUAGACGCCAGCAGGCCAGACCAUCAGCUAGACCCAAAUACUCCUUUUGUCUGAGCAAAACCACCUUCUUCCUCUAGAAGUUCACUCAUGAGAACAGUCC